RNAcentral lists this ribosomal RNA (269 nucleotides) under Clibanarius sp. AY-2019. RNAcentral's name for it is "partial 12S rRNA". Lineage: Eukaryota; Metazoa; Arthropoda; Malacostraca; Decapoda; Diogenidae. The record is from RNAcentral.
UGUUAUACUUAUUAUAAAAUAGUUAAUGCCUGAUUAGUAAAAGUUAUGUGCUCUAAAUUCAAAGAAUUUGGCGGCUUUUUAACCUUGUUAGGGGAACCUGUUUUUUAAGCGACAAUCCACGUAGAAUCUUGCCUAUUUUUAGUUUGUAUACCGUCAUUUAGAUAACUUUUAUAGGAGAAGUUGUUGAGAUAGUGGCUAAGAUGUUAGAUCAAGGUGCAGCUUAUGGGUAGGUUAAAAUGGGUUACAAUAAAAUUUGUUUAUAACGGAGA